Hipposideros armiger (great roundleaf bat) is the source of this 967-nucleotide long non-coding RNA. RefSeq lists it as uncharacterized. The transcript is spliced from 3 exons. The record is from RefSeq and is a predicted model, not a curated record. NCBI's taxonomy places the organism in Eukaryota, Metazoa, Chordata, Mammalia, Chiroptera, Hipposideridae.
CACUUCUGGAGAACAGGAGUGGGGCUCCAGGCCCUGACAAACAGUCCUGGGCAGAGUCUGAGUAACCCAGUGCCUCUGAAUCACAAAAGGCAAGUCUCAAUUUGGAACCAGAAACUCAAUGAUGCAAACAUUUCUAAGCCCUGGAAGGGAGGGCACCUUGAACAGAGCCGGAAUCUGAUUCGAAGGUUGGCUGGUCUCUGCUGCCCGCUUUUCCAACCCGUUGUGGCAUGUCCUCCUGGGCCCACCAUCUGCUUCAGAAGCUGCCUGAGUGACUGACAGGUCUGCAGGACUGCAAGGUGGAGCUGAGAUGUGACACAGAGUGCCCCCUGAGCAGGGUGACAAUCUCAGACAUAGGAGAGCACAUCCUGCCCACAGGGUGAUGGGAACAGGACUGGGGCGGAGAGGCCAGCUCUGGCAACGAUGAAGAUGCUGUUUACAGUCACACCCCUGCACAUCUGAACCAUGUGUGAAAAAGUCAAGGCCCCAGCAGAUGUCCUCCAGCCCCGCCACUCACAACCCCCUCCCCAGGGAGGGGCUCUGUAGGCUGAGGCUCUCACCACACUGGAAAGUCCUGAAAAGCUGAGUUUUCUAGAAUCCAGUGGGAAGAGAAAGAUGGCUGGCCAAGUCUCUCCUCUUGUUCUAGUCAAGGUCGCUCUUGCUAUAUACCAUCUCCUCCCUACCCCCAUACCCUACAGACUCAAUUCUCCAGGUCUCUAUGCCUUCUACUUUUCUAAUCUUUUCCUGACACUCAGAGUUCUGAAGAUUAAAAGAACCUUUUUCUCACCCCGAGGUUGGUGAUCCCUGGGAGAUGGCAAGCAUUGGUGUUAGGGGUGAUUAGAGAGAUGGAUUGAAUAUUGCAAAGUGAAAUUUUAGAAGAUGGAAUCAGGACAUAAAAAAAUUGAGAGCUAAUAACUAUUCUGAAAAUAUUUGUUAUCUGCGUUGAGACAACUGUAUAAAUAAAGGAAUA